GGGCACGUGGCGGAAUUGGUAUACGCGUACGGCUCAGAACCGUAUCCCGUAAGGGUUGAGAGUUCGAGUCUCUCCGUGCCCA
Molecule: transfer RNA, 82 nt
Filed under: bacterium
Lineage: Bacteria
Description: tRNA-Leu
Rfam family: tRNA
About the family: Transfer RNA (tRNA) molecules are approximately 80 nucleotides in length. Their secondary structure includes four short double-helical elements and three loops (D, anti-codon, and T loops).
Source: RNAcentral